This is a transfer RNA of Aciduliprofundum boonei T469, 86 nucleotides long. It matches the Rfam family "tRNA". Rfam says of the family: Transfer RNA (tRNA) molecules are approximately 80 nucleotides in length. Their secondary structure includes four short double-helical elements and three loops (D, anti-codon, and T loops). Further hydrogen bonds mediate the characteristic L-shaped molecular structure. tRNAs have two regions of fundamental functional importance: the anti-codon, which is responsible for specific mRNA codon recognition, and the 3' end, to which the tRNAs corresponding amino acid is attached (by aminoacyl-tRNA synthetases). tRNAs cope with the degeneracy of the genetic code in two manners: having more than one tRNA (with a specific anti-codon) for a particular amino acid; and 'wobble' base-pairing, i.e. permitting non-standard base-pairing at the 3rd anti-codon position. NCBI's taxonomy places the organism in Archaea, Methanobacteriati, Thermoplasmatota. The record is from Rfam.
GCCGGGGUAGCCAAGUGGACUACGGCGCCAGCCUUGAGAGCUGGUUCCCUGUAUUGGGAGCGGGAGUUCGAAUCUCCCCCCCGGCG